AGAGUUUGAUCAUGGCUCAGGAUGAACGCUAGCUACAGGCUUAACACAUGCAAGUCGAGGGGAAACGACAUCGAAAGCUUGCUUUUGAUGGGCGUCGACCGGCGCACGGGUGAGUAACGCGUAUCCAACCUGCCCAUCACUUGGGGAUAACCUUGCGAAAGUAAGACUAAUACCCAAUGAUAUCUCUAGAAGGCAUCUGAAAGAGAUUAAAGAUUUAUCGGUGAUGGAUGGGGAUGCGUCUGAUUAGCUUGGUUGGCGGGGUAACGGCCCACCAAAGCAACGAUCAGUAGGGGUUCUGAGAGGAAGGUCCCCCACAUUGGAACUGAGACACGGUCCAAACUCCCUACGGGAGGCA
Molecule: ribosomal RNA, 355 nt
Filed under: uncultured bacterium
Lineage: Bacteria
Description: bacterial SSU rRNA
Rfam family: Bacterial small subunit ribosomal RNA
Source: RNAcentral